UUCCUAUGGGCGUGUGAGUCCAAUUCCAAAUUCUUCGGCACAUGUUUUCCAAUCUUGUAUUCAUCUCUUUGGCGAAGCGUGUAACAUAUUUCAAGAGAACUGCUUAAAAGCCACGCUAGUGCAUACACAUUACAUUUAGACAAUACAUGGAGAAAAAUAAGCAAAUCUUCAGUUGUCUUUGAAUGAUAGUGUGUAGUGCCAACUAAUGUAAGCCUUUCUCAAGACUAUGGGUAACAAAAAAACUAAGAAAUCUCUAUAAGCUAUAGAUCAGCCCUAACAAGUAUAUCUGUCUUUGCUGGAAAACGAGUGAAGCCAAAAGGUGCUCACCAUACUGCUUGAAUAGACAAUUAGAUAAUACAGAUACAGCACCCUCCAGUGACUUUUUCGUUUAUAUGAGUUUAGUACAACAUACGUCUUUCCUCACCAGCCUCCAGAGUAAUGGCCUGUGUUCAAAGUUCAGGGUGAGAAUCUGCUAGCAUUAACGGAAUCGUAUACCAAGCUCGUAAGCUUGAAGCAACAGAAUCAUCUCAAAGACAAAAGAGAAAUCAUAUGUGAGAAGGACUGCCAUCUUUGAACUUCAUAACAACAUAUAUGCCUUUGUAUUACUCUAUCAAGCUAAUGAUAUCAUCUCAUAAAUGAAGCGCUCAAUAUCUGAUCAAAGAGUGAAUUUCGCUUCUUAUUCAGAAUACAUACAGUAGCAGCAAGAGUAGCAAUGUGGAUUUUACCGAGAAUGCCAAAGGAGGAAAGACUGUAACCUUCAGUUUCAAUCACCAAGGUGUUUUGAUACAGUCAAAGUUAAAUUAAUUUAGAAAAAAUAAGUCUAAUUUAAGAAACUUAAAGUAAUUAAACAAUGAUCAUCCUGACAUUGCAUGUUUAUCAACUAUAUUUGACCAAAUACCGUCUAAGUAAUAAAAUAAAUUUACCGGACAGUAGUAAGAUAAUAUUAUUAUCAUAGUGUUCUAAUUCCUCAAAAUAUUAUUAAGAAACUCUAUGUGAUUGCAUUUAGAUACAAUUCAUUGUCCAUCGUGUCAUUAAGUAGCUCCUUUGUCAUUCCAAUCUAAGGCUUAAAGUUGGAUUAUGACAACAUCACAUUCUAUUACCAAAAACAAUUUCAAAAAAUAGCAUAAUAGUAGUUUGAGUAUGACAUUAAUAUAAUUCUUUUUACUAUGAUUUCCCGGCCUACUUAGUAUUCUUUUAGUGGCAGAGUAAAAAUUGAAAAGACACAUGUUUUCAAGUGAACAAAUUGAAUCUAAAAUUCAUGUGCUGGUGAUAGUAUAUAAUGUUCAGAUGAGAGCAUUAAUAGAUAGUGUUACAGAACAUGCUAGAUAUAAACAUCGAGAGAAAAGGAAUCGUAAUUAUGAAAUAAAGCUAUGCUGCAGAUAUCUAUUUGAUCAACAAAUGCAGUCAUUAGAUUUUCCUAUUCGACUUAAUUUUGUCAAGUUUAUGCUUCUAUUUUCAGUGUAUCAACGAAAAACUCAACGUAAAAAGAAAUUACUAAUGCAAAUGAUGCUUUUGAGGGCUAUCAGAAAAAUAUUAUUCACAGCGUCCUAAAAGAUACAUUUACCUUCCACCAGGUCAUAUAUGCAUGCCCCAUUGUUUUUUAGUAGUAUAGAAGGAGAAGGUUUUUAUGUUGCCUAAGCCUUUUAAUUGUCAUGUAUAAUCAAGUUUGGAAUUUCUUCUUGCAAGAACAACUCACAAGUUAACUUAUAGAAACUAACAGGAUGGACCAUUAAAUCACAUGGAGAAAGACAAAAUAGUGAUAUUCUAUUUCACGACUAAAUAAUUAACAAGAAAUUAGCCAAAUUCACAUGUGUAAUAAGUGUUCCCAAACCAUGACUACUGCCUUAGUAAUAGUGAUAAAAUUUCAUUGGUUUCAUUUUGAAGAAUCCAUAGGUAGAUUUCCCCUUAGUUGACAAGGGGAGCUUGAUGUUACACAUUUGAGAAGAGAAAUAACUGCGUAUGUAGAGAGAGAAAAAAAGCAUGAACGGAAUAGUCUAAAACAGAAUAUGCCGCAAAGAAAAAUUAUAGGCGUAUAGUCUUUCUGGAAGAUGAUGAAAAGACUAAAAUACCCCUAGAUGAACAUAAACUCAACCGCACAAUCUUAGAACGCAAAAAAAAAAAAAAAAGUUCUCGAAAUUAGCGUGAAAGAACACAUUGGGCAUAAGAAAUACUCGAUAGAAAUUAUUUUCUGCAGAAAAUGUAACGUCAUUGUCUCAAAUUUAAUGAUACAAGCAAGAAACAAUAUCAUUGUUGUAUGCUGCUGGGUUAUUCUAGUGGUUUCUGAUAUGGUUUGAUUAACAGAUCAAAAAACAUGUAAUUCUUCAAUUUUCACCGAAAAACCUUACGAGGUUUUAAAAAAGAGCAUUUCUUACGGAGUUUUGCAAAAUUCUUUGUCAUAGCUAGCAUUGAAAAAUAGUUGUGGUAGAUAGAAGUUACUGGUUCCCGGGAACCCAUACCUGACACUUACCCCAGCACUUCCUACAAAUUGUAGUAGUACCUUGCCCUACUUCUCACUUUACAACAAUGCUUCUUGAGGUCGUUUUUGUUAAUUCUUUCGUUAUUGAUAAAUAUAUUGUUGUCUACCUUAUAAUUCAAAGGGUUGUCUCACCCACGAAAGUUGGAUAAUUGGAUCGCUCAAAUAUUUGAGUUCUUACAUAAGAUGAGAGAAGGAAUAAGAAAGAUUACAAUAUCAAUCUUUUAUACUCUACAUAUCAGUCAUAUACCGCAACUUUGACUAUACAUAUGAACAUAUUUACAUGAUGCCUUAUAAAUGCGUAAAAUGUAAGAAUUUCUCUUGAAGGGUGAUAUUUGUGGUUGUAGGAGGGUGGUCUCUAACGUAGUUGCUAACUUCAAAAAUCCUGAACUCCAUUUGAAAUUUGUGCAUUUGUGUGCAGGAUGUAAUCGAAUUAAGUUCUAUACUUCUCAAAGAACAACCCAGAAAUUUUGCUAACCUGUCUCACAAAAUAAAGAAUUUUUCCAAAUUUCAUUAUCUCGAUGUUAUAUUCAUGGACAAGAGGGGUUGCUCUAAUGGUAAGCAACCCCACUUCCAACCGAGAGGUUAUGAGCUCGAGUCUCCCCAAGAGCAAGGUGGGAGGUUCUUGGAGGGAAGGAUGCCGGGAUCUAUUUGGAAACAGCCUCUCAACCCCAGGGUAGGGGUAAGGUCUGCGUACAUACUAGCCUACCCAGACCCCACUAAGUCUCCAAAUCCCACUAAAUGAGAUUAUACUGGGUUGUUGUUGUUGUUAUAUUCAUUCUCACAGUUGGAGAACUCAUGAACCAUCAAUUUGCUUUAACUCUUCAACUAAAGCUAGUUGUAGUUUCCUAGGGUUUCACGAUUAUAGAUUAUGUCGUAAGCAGACAUGGGAAGAAAAAAUUGGGUACGACUUCAAAUAGAGGCGUAAAAAUAAAUUAGUUCACAUAAAACUCUUGGGUAGCAAUUAAAAGCUGUCGAGGCCGCUGCAAUCCAUUAAUGCAUACACAAAUCUAAAGGAGGAGAUAAAAAACGAAGCUCGGAGUACUUACUUGUCUGCCAGCGAGCAAAAAGAUAGCAGAAAAGCCAAGCCGGAAAGACAAACCCAAGCGGAACAAAGCAUCUUCCAAAUAUUAUUGGGCUGUCAAAAUACAUGAGUUGUAGACCUAGAAAAAUAGCUCACAGCUUCCAAACCAAAGAGACCAAGAGGCGCGUAUCGAUGAGGGAGAAAAAGAGCAUUAAGGAAAAGGU
This 3721-nucleotide long non-coding RNA is filed under the name Nicotiana benthamiana. RNAcentral describes it as "long non-coding RNA (NBEN_LNC015223)". The record is from RNAcentral. Lineage: Eukaryota; Viridiplantae; Streptophyta; Magnoliopsida; Solanales; Solanaceae.